GACUACUCAUGGCAACACUGGUUUAUCGUGAUGCGCCGAAAUAUAAUAUUCGAUGUGUUUUGUGGGACAGAUGUUGAGAUAGCUCGUUGUGCUAUUUAUCAGGCCGUCGUAUCGUGGAUCAGAGCAGGUAGUACGUCAGCUGGCAGGCUACCUGGUUCUAGGGCUUGCGAACAUUCUGAAAACCUGAUGGGAACAUACUUUGGUGUUUACGUUCACAACAUUGUUUUGUAUUCGAGAGCUCACUGUCGGAUUAAUUUUGCUAAUGUCAACAAACAAGGCGUCCGAGUUCGUUUUAUCAGCCGAAGGCUUUGAAUCUAGAUGGGUUUCUUGAUCAAUACCUGCAGUGCACUCAAGCCCGAUGCCGUAGGGGAAACGGAACCUAUGUAUUUUACCAAGAACGUUUAAUGGAAAAUAAGAGAUAAGACUUCCUGCUGUUUCUGGAUGAAAAAAAAAAAACGUCAAAGUCAUUAAAUCGGUUGGUUGCGUUAGUUCAGGAAUAAUUGUUGGACCUCAGAAUAGUUUAUUUUCCUCUUGGACAACGAGAGUAGAAAGGCGACGCACAGGUCAAGCUAAAGACGUGUGGGAUUCUUAUGAAAGCUGAAAGCAAAAUUAAUAAGCAGUAAAUCUGCAACAAAUUUUGAAUUACUUUUGCCUCUAUUUUUGCUCGUCGACUUUUGUUGCUGUAUUAUGCAUACGCAGGUCGUUUAACUUUAAAAGUGAUUAUUGAUUAUACUUUCACGCGUAUUUGUAUUUGUACGCGCUGAAAAAAAACCCGAUUUGAUUGGUCAGUUCGGAACUUGAUAACAUUGAUCAAUAUUAACCACGUGGUGCAAGUACGUAAUAUCACAAGACUUUCCACUUACACUCCAAUAAUACUGGAUAUUGUGAUAUGCGAGUAUGGAAUUAAUUAACUCUGUUUAAAAGUAACUGGAAAAAUGCAAAUUUAACGCAUUGUCUUUCUGGACAACUAGCUGAAGAAAUAGUAAACAAAGAAGUAUAUUUUACUCAAAUCAAAAUAAAAGAAACUUAAACGAAAAUGAACUCCUGGGCGUUAAUUCCAGUCAGCAUAUUAUUGUAUUACACUCUAAUCGUAUCAGUUCAUUAAUUGGACGAUGUCAGUAGGAAUUCACUUUGAGAAAUCAGAAUUUAGCAAGCAUCCCACGUUCUGUCGCAGUUAAUGGCGUAAUAAUCGCAGUUUAUACACCGCACGUAGUAAUGAGUACCAUCGUCAGAAGCACUUCUAUUCUAUUGUAUGUGUAACGUGCAUUCUCUGAUUGAUCUGCCAGUUUCUAUAUGUACCAAAUGAACUCCCUGGUGAUUCAUCAUAACACGAUUGCAAUCGCUGAAGUAUUUUCAUUGUAAUCAACAAGACAUCUUUCUCACCCCAUAAAACACGAACAGAUGAUAAGCCGAAACUACUCGAUGGAACAACAACGGAAAAAAUAACAACUAAACACCGAUAUUGACAGUCUGUAAUGUAAUGAAAUAUUCUGACAUUUAAUAAUAAGUUUAAUUACUUUAUUAUUUAGAGUAAAUUAUAUGUAUGUUACCAAUCCCCAAAUGUGAAAGUAUGGCAUUACUCCAGAACUGCAAAACAUUUAAAAUGUAAUCAAAUUUAGCAGGCAAAAUUAGAGCAUAUUAAACAUGCAACUAGGUUAAUUUUAGAAACAUAGUUCCAUCAUAAAAUGCGGUAAUAGCGACUGAUUAUAUUACAGUUUCAUUACUUUCACCAACUUUCACAUUUUACCACAAAUUUAAGCAUUAUUCAUGAACUAAAAAACACAUGUACAUAAAAGAACGUCGUUGUUUAUUAACGAAUAUUUAGAUAUAAACCAAGUGCCAUUUAUGUUGUUAGAAUAUUUAAAACAAAAUAAAAAAGAUAUAUUCAGAACCCAUAAUUGUUUUAAAACACUUAUAAUACGUAUUCAUAGAUUCAAUUUAAUUUGUUUUGCAGUAGCGCCCUCUAGACAUACCUUUAUCCUUAAUAUCACAAUUCAUAUAGCCUUUACCUACAUCGUAAUCGGUAUUUUGAUUGAACAUUUAACCAUCGUGCAGCAAAACCAUCGUGUGCUAAUUAAUCAUAUUAUAUAGUCCUCAUUUACUGUCCUAAUAAAACAUCUAAAGGGCUUUCAAGUAUAAUAUCACUAUAUUUCUAUCAAAAGUAGUUCGUGUAUCAAACAAGUUUAUAUUUUAAUAAUUUGCAUAU
RNAcentral lists this long non-coding RNA (2206 nucleotides) under Anneissia japonica. RNAcentral describes it as "uncharacterized LOC117123703, transcript variant X1". The record is from RNAcentral. Lineage: Eukaryota; Metazoa; Echinodermata; Crinoidea; Comatulida; Comatulidae.